AUUGAACGCUGGCGGCAGGCCUAACACAUGCAAGUCUAGCGAGCGGCGGACGGGUGAGUAAUGUAUGGGGCCUGCCCGAUAGAUGGGGAUAACUACUGGAAACGGUAGCUAAUACCGCAUACUAUCGGAUAACCCAUAUGGGAUUAGCUAGUAGGUGAGGUAAUGGCUCACCUAGGCGACGAUCCCUAGCUGUUCUGAGAGGAUGUUCAGCGACACUGGGACUGAUAGACGGCCCAGACUCCUACGGAGGCAGAAGUGGGGAAGAUUGCACAAUGGGCGCAAGCAUGAUGCAGCCAUGCCGGGUGUAUGAAGAAGGCCCUAGGGUUGUAAAGUACUUUCAGUCGCGAGGCGUUACCGACAGAAGAAGCACCGGCUAACUCCGGGCCAGCAGCCGCGGUAAUUC
This 403-nucleotide ribosomal RNA is filed under the name uncultured bacterium. RNAcentral describes it as "partial 16S ribosomal RNA". It matches the Rfam family "Bacterial small subunit ribosomal RNA", at positions 30 to 526 of the family's 1533-position model. The record is from RNAcentral.